UGUUAGGCGGCAGGCUGUAGUCCUGUACACAUUGGUUUAAUUCCUUUCUAUUACCA
RNAcentral lists this transfer RNA (56 nucleotides) under Anolis antonii (Anton's anole). Its description in RNAcentral is "partial tRNA-Tyr". Lineage: Eukaryota; Metazoa; Chordata; Lepidosauria; Squamata; Anolidae. The record is from RNAcentral.